UUUCCGUAGGUGAACCUGCGGAAGGAUCAUUCAUAAUAAAGUGUUUUAUGGCACUUUUUAAAAAUCCAUAUCCACCUUGUGUGCAAUGUUAGAUCUCGUCAAUCUUGGCGAGAUUUUUAUACAUCAACUCAUUCCUUAACUAAUUUGUCUGAAAAAUAUUAUGAAUACUUAAUUCAAAAUACAACUUUCAACAACGGAUCUCUUGGCUCUC
Molecule: unclassified non-coding RNA, 211 nt
Filed under: plant metagenome
Description: partial contains small subunit ribosomal RNA, internal transcribed spacer 1, and 5.8S ribosomal RNA
Source: RNAcentral